GCUGGGCGUGGUGGCGCAUGCCUGUAAUACCAGCAGCUCGGGAGGCUGAGGCAGGAGGAUUGCAAGUUCAAAGCCAGCCUCAGCAAAAGCCAGGUACUAAGCAUCUCAGGGAGAUCCUGUCUCUA
RNAcentral lists this small RNA (125 nucleotides) under Marmota monax (woodchuck). The record is from RNAcentral. Lineage: Eukaryota; Metazoa; Chordata; Mammalia; Rodentia; Sciuridae.